RNAcentral lists this transfer RNA (73 nucleotides) under Stegodyphus mimosarum. It matches the Rfam family "tRNA". Rfam says of the family: Transfer RNA (tRNA) molecules are approximately 80 nucleotides in length. Their secondary structure includes four short double-helical elements and three loops (D, anti-codon, and T loops). Further hydrogen bonds mediate the characteristic L-shaped molecular structure. tRNAs have two regions of fundamental functional importance: the anti-codon, which is responsible for specific mRNA codon recognition, and the 3' end, to which the tRNAs corresponding amino acid is attached (by aminoacyl-tRNA synthetases). tRNAs cope with the degeneracy of the genetic code in two manners: having more than one tRNA (with a specific anti-codon) for a particular amino acid; and 'wobble' base-pairing, i.e. permitting non-standard base-pairing at the 3rd anti-codon position. Lineage: Eukaryota; Metazoa; Arthropoda; Arachnida; Araneae; Eresidae. The record is from Rfam by way of RNAcentral.
GCCUUCGUGGUGUAGUGGUCAGCCCACUCGACGCGUAACCGAGAGGUCCGUGGUUCGAUUCCCGGCAAAGGCU